Molecule: long non-coding RNA, 515 nt
Organism: Quercus lobata
Lineage: Eukaryota; Viridiplantae; Streptophyta; Magnoliopsida; Fagales; Fagaceae
Exons: 3
Source: RefSeq, a predicted model, not a curated record
GCAAGUCCACAUGAUUUUUUUCUCAUCUAUAUCCACUUAUUAUUAUGCUACAUUAAUGAUACCUUCACUCGCUUUUAUUUUUCUCACUUUCUUCCAAAAGAUUAGCAUUUAGCAAACAAGGGUUGCUUUGUUUUAUUUUCUUGCCUCUGUGUUUUUAUUUUUCUUGUAUGUUAUUAUGACUAGCAGCCAAUCAGUCCGUGUAUCUAAACUUCUCCUCUGAUUUAUACCCUAAAAAACUUCUCCUCUGAUUUCUAAACAGUUGUUGCCUAAUUUGUAGAUUUGGCUUUCUUUUUGAGAGAGAGAGAGGACUGGACGGUCCAUGGCCUCUUAUUAUCUCUGCUUCAAUUAGUGUGUUUCUCCUUUAUUGAAUCAGAGUCUAUCAAGAAGUGUAUGCUUUUCAGACCAGGGUCUUUCCAAUGGAUAUUGGUAAGAUUGUUGGAAACAUAAUUCCUUUAGUAGGCAAAUAUUGGAGUUAUCACAAAAAGGCUGAUCAACACGUGAAGAAUCUGAAGAGA